Seriola aureovittata is the source of this 1393-nucleotide long non-coding RNA. RefSeq lists it as uncharacterized. The record is from RefSeq and is a predicted model, not a curated record. NCBI's taxonomy places the organism in Eukaryota, Metazoa, Chordata, Actinopteri, Carangiformes, Carangidae. The transcript has 5 exons.
AACAAUGAGUAGAAUAUACAGACAGGUGCUCAGUAUCUGUUUGAUUGAUAUACCUGGUCUGCAAUGAUUGAUCAUAUGACGCGGCAGGCCGGGAGGUCGAUCACCGGAGGAUCGAUCACCGAGGAGAGCUUGGGUCGUGAGCGUUUCGUAUUGAAUUAGUUGUGUUGAAUAUUAUUUUUCUCAAUAUUUGUCCGUGGAAGAAUAAUUUAUUACCGACAGUUUUGCUGUUAGUUAUUUAGUUUUAAUGAGUUUUCGGUUCACAGUAAUUAUGGCUCAUUCUUCGUUACUAACAAACUGGAGAGAUGAUGAUUAUAUACAGUUUUUUUUCGUUAUCUACUGAAAUGAACCAGCACCGACCUGUGUUGUAAUACCACUUUGUGACACUAGAGGCUGUGUGAGUCAGUGGCGCGUCAAGUCUGCCCUCAGUCCCACGAAGAAGAACUUCCGGCAGAGCUUGAAGUUAGCAUCACAGAAACGCAGGAAUGGCUGAACCUCUUAAAAAGGUAAUAUUCAUCUGUAUCCCGCAGGACCGCUCCCGACAAGAAACCACGUUUAACAGCAAAGAAAAGAGGCAACACGAGUAAAUCUUGGUGCGGCUUCCCGCCGCUGGAGAAGCUCCUGAGAGUAAAGAGGUGCGGUUUGAUGCCGAGCUCGCAACUUUCCUGUUAGCCUGUUACUCCGGAGAUUUCAGCAUACCUGUCUUCAUCAGGACCUGAGCCAGUAGAGAUGCAAUACCGCCUCCACCUGUCUCACUAUCGGCAGAGAGUCUAGACACAGUGAGGAGGAUCUAGGACCAGAAGUCCAGUUUAAUUUUCACCAAUGAUGGACCAGCACCUGCCUUUUCUUCUGCAUCCGGCCUCAGCAAUCAACCACAUUACAUCAACACCUUGAGGUAUGGCAGAAUCCACCUCGGGCCAGAACCACGCCUUGCCCAGCAAGAAAUGGUAAGUCAUGCACAUUACUCCACCCCAUACAUUUAGGCUCAAAUCACUCAAUUAAUUUCUAUUAAAAGUUUGUAUUUUGUGUAAUUGCAUUUCCACACAGAUCAUAGUUAAAUGUUUAAGAUAAGUUAAAAUGUUUAAUACAUUUAAGUUGUUGUCAUAUCAAAUGCAUCAGAAAACAAUGUGGAUGUGAUUAUUAAUAUUUGGCUUGAAUAUUAAAAUACUUGUUUGGAAACUUGCUGUGUCUGAUUUGUUAAGGAAACAAAACUCUUGUUACUGUAACUAUGUGUACCUAGGCUCAAAUUAGGGUCAAAAUGAUUCUGAGCUUGUAAAGUCAUGUUCACAAAUAAUUCCAAUGUUUGUAGUUGUAAAUCAACCUUUGUAAACCUGUAAGAUAAAUCUGCUUGAGAAAUUCAAGUUUGAGUAUGUGAAACAAUUGCGCUUGUGUCAAA